RNAcentral lists this long non-coding RNA (725 nucleotides) under Lynx pardinus (Iberian lynx). The record is from RNAcentral. Lineage: Eukaryota; Metazoa; Chordata; Mammalia; Carnivora; Felidae.
AAAACACCCUCAAGGACGGGCACUGCACAGACUGUAACAACAAGGAACGUGGCUCUGCAUCUCUCAGCAGCCAGUCUGCCAUGGGUCCCACGCCACUCUGAUUUCGGCUCAGCUGAGGACUCGAAGUAACAGGCCCGCUGCCUCUGGUAAAAACUGCUCUUUUUAAAUUUUUUAUUAAUCUCCAAACUGGCUGUGUUAGAGUUACAGCCCAUUACCUACCAACUCUCUUCACUAAUAAAAUAAAUUUGUAAAAGGCCUAAUUACUACUUUUACUGAACUACACUGCCUGGGGAUCAAGUACAGGAAGCCAAGGGCUCAACUAGUUGUCAGCUAGGGGAUGAUGAUGGGGAGGGGAUCAGGAGAGGACCUGGAGUCACCAGCAGGAGAGAACAUGAGGUCCACAGACGAGCCUCCGAACCCAUGCCCAAAAAGAAACAAAAGGGCACUAACCCUGUUUUUGUUCUGAACAGCAUCGUGAGGAUCCAUGCCAUCAUGGGAUUUGGGAAGGCCUGUCACGAGGUACACAGGCCUAUGCUGCCCACGCCCCAGCUCAGUUCAAAAAGAGAACUGCAAUCCAACACAGAUGGACCGUGGCCGGGCUCUCAGCAGAGAGUCUGGGGAGUCUGACCCGUAAGGAAACAAACAACCGUCCUUCCCACCUAUCCAUCACUCUACCCUUCCACCCCAACCCAGGCCCCCAAAGAGGAAAAACAAACAAAACAACA